UACGGUGGGUGCGAGCGUUGUUCGGAAUUACUGGGCGUAAAGGGGGCGUAGGCGGUUUGUUAAGUCAAAUGUGAAAGUCCACGGCUUAACUGUGGAAGUGGAUUUGCGACUGGCAGGCUAGAGUUUCGGAAGGGAAAGUGGAAUUCCUGGUGUAGGAGUGAAGUCCGUAGAUAUCAGGAGGAAUACCGGUGGCGAAGGCGACUUUCUGGACGAAUACUGACGCUGAGGCCCGAAAGCGUGGGGAGCAAACAGG
Molecule: ribosomal RNA, 253 nt
Filed under: uncultured bacterium
Lineage: Bacteria
Description: partial 16S ribosomal RNA
Rfam family: Bacterial small subunit ribosomal RNA
Source: RNAcentral